AUACUUACCUGGCAGGGGAGAUACCAUGAUCACGAAGGUGGUUUUCCCAGGGCGAGGCUUAUCCAUUGCACUCCGGAUGUGCCUGACCCCUGCGAUUUCCCCAAAUGUGGGAAACUCGACUGCAUAAUUUGUGGUAGUGGGGGACUGCGUUCGCGCUCUCACCUA
This 165-nucleotide small nuclear RNA is filed under the name Rhinolophus ferrumequinum (greater horseshoe bat). Its description in RNAcentral is "U1 spliceosomal RNA (ENSRFEG00010009319.1)". It matches the Rfam family "U1 spliceosomal RNA". Rfam says of the family: U1 is a small nuclear RNA (snRNA) component of the spliceosome (involved in pre-mRNA splicing). Its 5' end forms complementary base pairs with the 5' splice junction, thus defining the 5' donor site of an intron. There are significant differences in sequence and secondary structure between metazoan and yeast U1 snRNAs, the latter being much longer (568 nucleotides as compared to 164 nucleotides in human). Lineage: Eukaryota; Metazoa; Chordata; Mammalia; Chiroptera; Rhinolophidae. The record is from Rfam by way of RNAcentral.